RNAcentral lists this ribosomal RNA (1239 nucleotides) under metagenome. Its description in RNAcentral is "SSU rRNA". It matches the Rfam family "Eukaryotic small subunit ribosomal RNA", at positions 558 to 1758 of the family's 1831-position model. The record is from RNAcentral.
AGUCUGGUGCCAGCAGCCGCGGUAAUUCCAGCUCCAAGAGCGUAUAUUCAAUUUGCUGCAGUUAAAAAGCUCGUAGUCGGAUUUCAGAAUCGUUGAUAUGGGAGGGUUAACGCAAGUUAAUCUUCUUUAUCAUGGUUCUAUCAUGUUUGAGUGACAAUCUGCUUUUCACUGGGUGGGUUGCUCGCCUUACAUCGUUGACCGUGCUUUAAUUCGCGUGUUCAAAGCAGGCUUUUAAGCCUUGAAGAGUAUAGCAUGGGAUCAUGAAAUAUGACCUUGAUUGAUGUUGGUUGACUUUGCAAUCAGGGUAAUGAUAAAUAGGGGUGGUCGGGGGUGUACGGAUUCCGUGGCGAGAGGUGAAAUUCUUGGACCCACGGAGGACGAACUAAAGCGAAAGCAUUCACCAAGGACAUACCCAUUGAUCAAGAACGAAAGAUAGGGGAUCGAAGAUGAUCAGAGACCGUUGUAGUCCUAUCCCUAAACGAUACCGACCGAGGAUCGGAGGGUGUCUAUUUGUGCGACCUCUUCGGGACUCUGUGGGAAACCAUUGAGUCUUUGGGUUCCGGGGGGAGUACGGUCGCAAGGCUGAAACUUAAAGGAAUUGACGGAAGGGCACACCAGGAGUGGAUCCUGCGGCUUAAUUCGACUCAACACGGGAAAACUCACCAGGUCCGACAUAGCAAGGAUUGACAGAUCGAUAGCUCUUUCUUGAUUUUAUGAGUGGUGGUGCAUGGCCGUUCUUAGUUGGUGGAGUGAUUUGUCUGGUUGAUUCCGAUAACGAACGAGACCUCAACUUGCUAAAUAGGAGGAAUGAUAGGGGAAAUAUGGGUGAAGGAGGGGUUGUAAAGUGGCUUCGGUUGCUUUCGAUUCUUUUGGAUCCUUUUCUUAUCAUUCUCGCCUUCUUAGAGGGACUGACUGAUUUUGAAGCAGUAGGAAGCUUGAGGCAAUAACAGGUCUGUGAUGCCCUUGGAUGUUCUGGGCUGCACGCGCGCUACACUGACUGAAGCAGAAAGUUUUAUCCUUGGCCAAUAGGUCUGGGUAAUCUUAUUAAAUUCAGUCGUGAUGGGGACAGAACCUUGAAAUUAUGGUUCUCGAACGAGGAAUUCCUAGUAAGUGCAAUUCAUCAAAUUGCGCUGAUUACGUCCCUGCCCUUUGUACACACCGCCCGUCGCUCCUACCGAUUGAACGAUCCGGUGAAGUAUUGAGAGAGUUGGAGGGCUUGCUCUCUAUGCUCAAACUUUA